Molecule: long non-coding RNA, 590 nt
Organism: Salvia miltiorrhiza (redroot sage)
Lineage: Eukaryota; Viridiplantae; Streptophyta; Magnoliopsida; Lamiales; Lamiaceae
Exons: 2
Source: RefSeq, a predicted model, not a curated record
AGCCGUCAUCUUUCCCCGUUUAAAUGAAACAGUAAGGGAGCUUAGUAUAUACCUGUGAAGUUUGGUGUUUGGAUGGCUGCUGUGAUUAUUGAAUUCAAUGGGGAAGGAACUGAAAUUUGCAAAUGUUGUUUCCUCAACAAAUGCAGAAAGAACCAAGUAUGAAAUGAAGAAACUUAGGCCAAGACUCACCUCUCGAUACUUGGCAGAUGGCAGCAGGAAUUAACUUCUCUUCAUCUCCCUUUCUGGUGGUUGGUGUAUGAGAGAAGGAAUGAAAUGUUAGGCUGGUGCUUUAAUAAGUGAGUUGUUGGCUGUAAAGUCAAAGGAUUGGAGAUGGUGGUUGGCUGAAUUUGAAGGGAGGAGCCGAUUAGUCUUCUCUCAUUUUUCUUCUUUUUAUUCUCACACGUUAUCUCCCGCAUGCUUGUUGGUAUGUAGCUGUAGUGUUUUGUGAUAGUGAUAGGUUUUGAUUGUAAGUAGGGAAUAGUGGUGAUGUAAAUAAUUCCCUACAGUCAUUGUGUAAAGUUGUAUCUGAAAAUCUAAUUUCUUUGUAUCAUCACAUAUCUAUAAAAUUGGUUCUAGGUUUUGCUGAAUAA